AUGGACAAGCGACCGCUUCUUCCCGGAGAAAAGAUGCCUCCCGUCUCCCCUCCCUCUCCGCCUACGCCUCCGUCUCCGGCGCGCACUGGGGACAGUUCUCGUUCCACUUCCAACCGCCAAGAAUCGGCGCCUCCGCCUCUGGCGCGCAUUGGGGAUGGUUCGUCCUCCGAACGCCAACAAUCAGGGGCAAAGAGGGAGGCGCAGAAUAAGGCGGGAGAUGCGAAGGCGCACAUCAGGAGGUUCUUGCCGAUUCCAAGCCUCCUACCCUUCUUCAAGAAAGCGGACUCCACGAGCCCAUCCAGCAGCGGCGACAAGACGGCGGCGGCAUCGAGCAACCCCAAGACGUACAACGACGCUGAGUUCGCGGGGAUGAUUGAGCGUCUGGAAGACUUCUCCCGCUGCAUUGGAGGCAGUUCGAGGAUUGCCGAUCCCCUGGCCCGUCUGGCCACGGCGGUCCGCUCACUCGCCAGCGUCGAGCGCGCCGACCCCAAGGCGACAAGCGCGGCGCAGUUCGACGUGCUGCUAGGAGUUGCUGCUCUAACCAUGGCUGCCUCCGGCCACAAAGUCAACGAGGUGGACGGCACCACGGCCAAGAAGCUAGAGUCCGAGGCGGCGGCACUGGCGCGCAAGGCGGGAGAGCUCUCCAUCUCCGGGCAACGUCGCCAUGGCCAAGAAGGAUCGUAUCUUUAUGCCAUCUCAAUCUCGGGCUCGCUGGCGCUUCUGCCCUACCUUCCGACUCAAAUUCCGGCGUCGCUCCAACCCAUCGUCGGCUGCGUGUUUGGAGCAGUAUUCUCCGCAGCUUCGGUGGGGGCUAUACUUACCUUGACGGCGACGAAGAACUCGGACGUGACGGCCGGUGGUGUUCUGGAUAAGGUCAGCUUCGCGGCAUUUUCGCUAUUGGUGGUCGCAUUUGUGUUCUCUGCUUUGGCAUCAGGAAAUGUUGUCCUGAUGGUCGUCCUGAUGCUCAUUUGCGCCGUGAUCAUGGUUCUCGGCCAUGUCUAUGCCUGGAGUAGGUAG
This 1017-nucleotide ribosomal RNA is filed under the name Triticum aestivum (bread wheat). RNAcentral describes it as "partial small subunit ribosomal RNA". The record is from RNAcentral. Lineage: Eukaryota; Viridiplantae; Streptophyta; Magnoliopsida; Poales; Poaceae.